This 375-nucleotide ribosomal RNA is filed under the name uncultured Glomus. RNAcentral describes it as "LSU rRNA". Lineage: Eukaryota; Fungi; Glomeromycota; Glomeromycetes; Glomerales; Glomeraceae. The record is from RNAcentral.
UUGAAAGGGAAACGAUUGAAGUCAGUCAUACCAACGGGAAAUCAACCUUUUGAGCUUGGUCUCGUGGGUUUUGAAGAGUUUCAAAGCCUUCGGAUUCGCGGGAUUGGGAUCUCUCGGUGUACUUUCUCGUACGGUUAGUCAACAUCGGUUUUGAAUGUCAUAAAAUGACUGGAGGAAUGUAGCUUCGAUCUCGUAUUGAAGUGUUAUAGCCUUUGGUAGAUGUGAUGUUUGAGACCGAGGAUUGCAACGGAUACCCUUCAGGGCUAUUCGUCUGAUCUCUGAUACGUUGCCUUGAUGUUGAAAGCUUGCUUAUGAUGUUAGGGUAUUACGGUCAAAAGGUUAGAACGAAUUACAUUCGUUAAGGAUGUUGACGUA